RNAcentral lists this transfer RNA (77 nucleotides) under Candidatus Peregrinibacteria bacterium. RNAcentral describes it as "tRNA-Val". It matches the Rfam family "tRNA". From Rfam's summary of the family: Transfer RNA (tRNA) molecules are approximately 80 nucleotides in length. Lineage: Bacteria; Candidatus Peregrinibacteriota. The record is from RNAcentral.
GGACGGUUAGCUCAGCUGGUUAGAGCGCGUCGCUUACACCGACGAGGUCGCUGGUUCGAUCCCAGCACCGUCCACCA